GCGGCCGUGGCGGAAUUGGUAGACGCGCAGCGUUGAGGUCGCUGUGGGGUAACACCCGUGAGAGUUCGAGUCUCUCCGACCGCACCA
This 87-nucleotide transfer RNA is filed under the name Rhizobiaceae bacterium. RNAcentral's name for it is "tRNA-Leu". It matches the Rfam family "tRNA". From Rfam's summary of the family: Transfer RNA (tRNA) molecules are approximately 80 nucleotides in length. Their secondary structure includes four short double-helical elements and three loops (D, anti-codon, and T loops). Further hydrogen bonds mediate the characteristic L-shaped molecular structure. tRNAs have two regions of fundamental functional importance: the anti-codon, which is responsible for specific mRNA codon recognition, and the 3' end, to which the tRNAs corresponding amino acid is attached (by aminoacyl-tRNA synthetases). tRNAs cope with the degeneracy of the genetic code in two manners: having more than one tRNA (with a specific anti-codon) for a particular amino acid; and 'wobble' base-pairing, i.e. permitting non-standard base-pairing at the 3rd anti-codon position. The record is from RNAcentral. Lineage: Bacteria; Pseudomonadati; Pseudomonadota; Alphaproteobacteria; Hyphomicrobiales; Rhizobiaceae.